RNAcentral lists this ribosomal RNA (512 nucleotides) under uncultured bacterium. RNAcentral describes it as "partial 16S ribosomal RNA". It matches the Rfam family "Bacterial small subunit ribosomal RNA", at positions 28 to 507 of the family's 1533-position model. The record is from RNAcentral.
GAUGAACGCUGGCGGCGUGCCUAAUACAUGCAAGUCGAACGAACCUUCUUUAUGCUUGCUUGUUUGCUGUUACCGACAGACGGUUGAGUGACACAUGGAUGACUUACCUGUAAGACUCGUAUAACUUAGAGAAACCUGACCCAAGGCCACAUGAUCUUUUGAACCAUAAGGUUCAAUAGUGCAAGACGAUUUUGCUGUCACUUAUAGUUGUAUCGCCGCUGCAUUAGCUCGCGGCGCAUUAGCUAGUUGGUAAGGUAAAGGCUUACCAAGGCAAGGAUGCGUAGCCGAACUGAGAGGUUGAUCGGCCACACUGGGACUGAGACACGGUCCAGACUCCUACGGGAGGCAGCAGUAGGGAAUCUUCCGCAAUGGGCGAAAGCCUGACGGAGCAACGCCGCGUGAGUGAUGAAGGUCUUCGGAUCGUAAAACCCUGUUAUUAGGGAAGAACAUAUGUGUAAGUAACUGUUCACAUCUUGACGGUACCUAAUCAGAAAGCCACGGCUAACUACGUG